Molecule: ribosomal RNA, 460 nt
Filed under: Streptococcus cristatus
Lineage: Bacteria; Bacillati; Bacillota; Bacilli; Lactobacillales; Streptococcaceae
Description: bacterial SSU rRNA
Rfam family: Bacterial small subunit ribosomal RNA
Source: RNAcentral
GACGAACGCGGCGGCGUGCCUAAUACAUGCAAGUAGAACGCUGAAGGGAGAGCUUGCUCUUCUGGAUGAGUUGCGAACGGGUGAGUAACGCGUAGGUAACCUGCCUGGUAGCGGGGGAUAACUAUUGGAAACGAUAGCUAAUACCGCAUAACAUUGACUAUUGCAUGAUAGUUAAUUGAAAGGUGCAAAUGCACCACUACCAGAUGGACCUGCGUUGUAUUAGCUAGUUGGUGGGGUAACGGCUCACCAAGGCGACGAUACAUAGCCGACCUGAGAGGGUGAUCGGCCACACUGGGACUGAGACACGGCCCAGACUCCUACGGGAGGCAGCAGUAGGGAAUCUUCGGCAAUGGACGGAAGUCUGACCGAGCAACGCCGCGUGAGUGAAGAAGGUUUUCGGAUCGUAAAGCUCUGUUGUAAGAGAAGAAACGAGUGUGAGAAGUGGAAAGUUUCAACAACU